Molecule: ribosomal RNA, 496 nt
Filed under: Bacillus sp. N-39-25-3
Lineage: Bacteria; Bacillati; Bacillota; Bacilli; Caryophanales; Bacillaceae
Description: bacterial SSU rRNA
Rfam family: Bacterial small subunit ribosomal RNA
Source: RNAcentral
AGAGUUUGAUCCUGGCUCAGAUUGAACGCUGGCGGCAUGCUUUACACAUGCAAGUCAGAACGGUAACAGGCCUUCGGGUGCUGACGAGUGGCGAACGGGUGAGUAAUACAUCGGAACGUGCCCAGUCGUGGGGGAUAGCUCGGCGAAAGCCGGAUUAAUACCGCAUACGAUCCACGGAUGAAAGCGGGGGACCUUCGGGCCUCGCGCGAUUGGAGCGGCCGAUGGCAGAUUAGGUAGUUGGUGGGGUAAAGGCUCACCAAGCCGACGAUCUGUAGCUGGUCUGAGAGUGACGACCAGCCACACUGGGACAUGAGACAUCGGCCCAGUACUCCUACGGGAGGCAGCAGUGGGGUAAUUUUGGACAAUGGGCGCAAGCCUGAUCCAGCCAUGCCGCGUGCAGGAUGAAGGCCUUCGGGUUGUAAACUGCUUUUGUACGUGAAUACCGUGGGAUCUUGAUCGGAUCUGACUGUACGCAUCGGCACUUUAUAAAGAUCUU